UUCCCUCACAACAACAAAAUUAGGCAACUUUUUAAUUUUGGCCCCAAAAUUUUUCACUACUUUUUAGUUUCCCACCAAAAUUUGACCCCAUUACAUUUCAGCAAAAUAGUUUUGCUUCCCCCAAAAUUAGACCCCAUUACAUUUCAGCAAAGUAGCUUUACUUUCCCCAAAAUUAGACUCUUCUAAGCUUCGACUCAGUUAAUUUCUCGGUGAUUUCAGCAAAGUAGCCAGUCGUUCACUUCGACUCCGUUGUCAUCUUCACUAAGAGGUUUAGUUUUUCUCUAUUAACCAAAACUUACAGUGAAUAGCUUUUGGAUCUUCAUAUUGGGUCCUUCAAUUCUUGCCCAAAUUUGUCUCUGAUUUCCUAUAAAACUUCAACAACCUCCAUUUUCAAUCAAGGAUCAAGAGGAGAAGGCAAAGAGGAGUUCUUUCUUCAAGGUUUGCAUUUUAUAGAGCUUCUUACUUCUUUUUGUUGAUUUGUUGGACUUGAUGAAGAGACUUUGGCGCGAUCACUCAUGUAAGUAUUUGGCGGCACUUUCCGGGUAACUAAUAUUCAUCAUAGAAUCAAGUGAGUUUAGGAUAACUAGAAUUCUUGAAACUUGACUAAAGAGUUUUUUUAGUUGAUUUUGCUUUUCAUUUUCUUAUAUUCAAAGAAAAUUGUUUCAUUAUUGAUACAGGUGGAUCUGUUGGAGUACAUUAGUUUAUUUGAAUUUGCUAAGUUUAGAGCAUGAAAAGAACAAUGCAAACUAAGAUAGUUAAUUAGUCUAGCUUACCUACCUUAGCAGAUGUUUUUGGUAAUAGGAUGCUGGUCCUAAUUCACGGUUAAGAGAAUUCAUUAAUUCAAUUCAAUUACAAUCUAUUGUUGGACUACAUUUCAUUUUAGAUGGUAAGUUGCUUCUAUUUUAAAAUCUUCUAGAGAUGGACUUUGUUUGACUUGAAAAUAAGUAGGUUUGGUAUGUGUGCUGCUAGUAUGGGGGUUAUUUCAACAUUUCAUUGAGUCGGAGGGCAUUUCAACCAUUUAUCUUCAGAAAUGGAGGAAUGGUAGUUAUGCCACCCAAUUGUUCGAUGAAAUGACUCAAAGAAAUUUGGAUGUGUUAAAGUCUGAGUGGCCUUAAUUUAUGAAAAUCCCCAGUAUGUGAAGGGGGGAGGGGGUGUGAGUCCAAAUGAUUUUCUAUUCAUGUCAAGGGGUGUUCAUUUUUAGUGUUAUUAGUUAGAAAUACAUCUGAAUGAUGUUUUGAGAAUAAGAAAUACAUCAAUCCCAUUUUUAAACUAAAAAAAAUGAAAAGAAAUUGUUUUACAUGGAGAUUAAUAUACAAGUUCAGAAUGAAAAUUGAUCACUUUUCCAUAUCCUUUUAAGGCUUUCUGUUAAGUGUUUCAGUUAAUAGUAAUGAGAGCUAUGUAGUUCUAAUUGUUUCUGGUGAAAGAAAAAAAGGUACUUUAUAUGUAGUAAAGAUUAUUUCUUGAGAAUGCUAGUUAAAAGUUUUUAAGUUAAAAGAUUGUUAUGACUUUAUUGACAAGGCUGAGUGGUUGGGUCCCAACUUUAUAUCUUCAAGUUAAAAGAUUGUUUCCUUUUUUGCUCUGUUCUGAUUCAUCUAUUUUUUAACUAGAUUUCUUGAUGGUUUUUUUAAGAAAGGUUAAAGGAGAAUUGAAUUUUGUCCUUCCUCUGUCAGAUGGGAGAUGCAUCGUUGACUUGAUAGACAUUAAGCACUUAACUGGUCAUAUUCAUAUUUCUCCUUAAUGUUCCGUAACCUGAAAAUCAUGGUUUAGGUCUGGAACAUACAUCAUUGACUUUAUUGACAUUUAAUAGUUUACUGAUCAUAUCCGUAUUUCUCAUUGUCAAUGACUACAAAGAUAGCAAAGCGUUACAUGUACUUUUUGCUAUGUAGAGUGCAUUUUUUCUGAUUAUGAGAGGGCGAUUAUAUCUUUUGACUAAGUCCAAAUGGUUUCAUCAAAUUAAUCGAUUGAUCCAUUUUUGUAUUUCUGGGUGUCGCGUCUUGUAUCUUUGCUAGUAGGGUUGUAGUAAAGUUGUUUGAUUUGUUAUGUUAGUGAAGCGUAAUAUAACUAAUGGAAAAUUGCCUUUAAAGGCAAUAAAGUUAAUCACCUUCCUACAUUUUUAUUAAUUUGAGAAGUGAAAAAGUUUACUUUGAAAUUUAUUGACAUGUCAUAUAGUUAUUGCAUGUUUCGUGACAAUGUAUCGUGUGGUUGGAUAUUCUCAUAGGGAAUAAAAUUGCAUGACUUUGGUAAGCAUCUUGGUGAGCUAUUUUAGCCGAAAGUCUAAUCGUUUCUAUUGACAGGGUAUAACAAGGUUUCUCUUAGCGCUAAUUCCACAUUAAUACAAAAGUACUUGACGCCCUCCCCCUCUUUUCUCUGAGGUGGUGCUGAUCUUAUAAUCAUAAGCAAGUGUUUGAGAUACAAUUGUCCUCUACUUUCUGGUGAUUAAAUUUCUCAAGAUUAGGAAUUUGUUCAACUUUUCAAUUGUGGUUCACUAGUUUAAGAUAAUUAUGUCAUAUUUUUGUCAUAUACAAAAGAUUGACCAUGUUGUCCUGGUGCAUUGUGCACAUUUCAAUUUAUUUUGGGCAUAAUUGUAUGAUGAUAGCAUUGACUUGAUGUCGACCAUUUGCUAUUAUCUUAUCUCUUACCUUUGAUACAACAUAAUAAUUAUUUUGAUAAGUGAUCUGAGGCUAAAACAGAGCAGGUGAUGUAAGAGACUAGAGCAUCGUUCUCUAACAAUGCAUAGAGGAGGAGAUUUCAAGUUUGAGCAAACAGAGAGAAGGUUGGUUACAUUAUGUGGAGGAGCGAUUUAUGCGUGCAUGAUGAGUAAGAUGGCAUUAUCAUUCCUUCUUCGAUUCUCGUCCCUUCGAUACAGACUCUUCGGAUGCUUUAGUGGUUACUAAUGUUAGACUUUUGUUAACUUUAUACUCAGUCUUUAGAAUUUCUAGAUUUUUAUAGAAGAAUUUACGGAUUUUUAAUUUUUAAAUUGAUUUGUAAUAUAUUUCAUAGUAUGAAAGUUACAUUUUUGUUAUUGUUAAUUAUUUUGUGCUUUUAGCUAA
Molecule: long non-coding RNA, 3050 nt
Organism: Lycium barbarum (goji berry)
Lineage: Eukaryota; Viridiplantae; Streptophyta; Magnoliopsida; Solanales; Solanaceae
Exons: 2
Source: RefSeq, a predicted model, not a curated record